This 465-nucleotide ribosomal RNA is filed under the name Vreelandella stevensii. RNAcentral's name for it is "partial 16S ribosomal RNA". It matches the Rfam family "Bacterial small subunit ribosomal RNA", at positions 338 to 795 of the family's 1533-position model. Lineage: Bacteria; Pseudomonadati; Pseudomonadota; Gammaproteobacteria; Oceanospirillales; Halomonadaceae. The record is from RNAcentral.
CCUACGGGUGGCUGCAGUGGGGAAUAUUGGACAAUGGGGGCAACCCUGAUCCAGCCAUGCCGCGUGUGUGAAGAAGGCCCUCGGGUUGUAAAGCACUUUCAGUGAGGAAGAACGCCUGGUGGUUAAUACCCAUCAGGAAAGACAUCACUCACAGAAGAAGCACCGGCUAACUCCGUGCCAGCAGCCGCGGUAAUACGGAGGGUGCGAGCGUUAAUCGGAAUUACUGGGCGUAAAGCGCGCGUAGGUGGCGUGAUAAGCCGGUUGUGAAAGCCCCGGGCUCAACCUGGGAACGGCAUCCGGAACUGUCAAGCUAGAGUGCAGGAGAGGAAGGUAGAAUUCCCGGUGUAGCGGUGAAAUGCGUAGAGAUCGGGAGGAAUACCAGUGGCGAAGGCGGCCUUCUGGACUGACACUGACACUGAGGUGCGAAAGCGUGGGUAGCAAACAGGAUUAGAUACCCCGGUAGUC